GCGAGCUACAACUGCUGAGAUUUUUAAAGCUACGUGUUCCCUUGGGAUUCAAAACCAACCUCUUUUGGGUUAAUAUAUUUUGACAACGAGUAUUUCAUCAUCUAAUAGGAGGUGUUGUUUGGAAGUUAUCAAAAUUUUAGCUCCGUUGCCAGAGAACACGGUGUUGAUUUGAAGUUGUUGUAGUUUUGGGGUUUUUUUUUUUUGUUUCUAGUAGGGCAUAUGAUCAU
Molecule: long non-coding RNA, 227 nt
Filed under: Capsicum annuum
Lineage: Eukaryota; Viridiplantae; Streptophyta; Magnoliopsida; Solanales; Solanaceae
Description: long non-coding RNA (CANN_LNC022512)
Source: RNAcentral